UUACAAAGUUACAAGGUGCUGCUGAUGCAAUAAAAAGUGACUCAACUUCAAGGACCCCAAUUCCUGCCAAGGAAAAUCAUGCUAGAGCACCGACUUCAGAAGGAAAACAGUCUUUGUUUCGUCCAACUUGUGGACCUAUCUCAGAAGGAAGACUGUCCAUGUUUUCUUCCACUGGAUCAAAACCCAGUACCCCUUUCCUUGUUAAUCCUGCUUAUCAGCAGCAAAACCUUCUGCCUAGGAAUUUUGCUGAGGCUCAAAAUAAGGCUUCAAAACAAGUUGAACUCAACUUGCCCCCAUCAAGCUAUCCACAUGAUGCUGAUGUUGCAGAAAAGCAUCUCCCUAAUAAUUCAGAAACAGCAACUCCCAAGUCAAGGGAGAUGCCAAGGACAGUGGCUCUUGUACAGCCAGUGCCUUCUAAGCAGCCAGAUAAUAGUGGAGUUGGUUCUGGUGGGUUACCUAAUGGAAAAGUCGCUAGUUCGUUGAAUAGUAGAUCUUCUGAUGGUGUUUCCAAUCAAGUGGCCCGAACACCAACAUUCUUUGCUCAGGGACAUGAACAUGUUCUUAAUGAUCCAGUUGAAGCGAUGAGAAUA
Molecule: unclassified non-coding RNA, 590 nt
Filed under: Hevea brasiliensis (rubber tree)
Lineage: Eukaryota; Viridiplantae; Streptophyta; Magnoliopsida; Malpighiales; Euphorbiaceae
Source: RNAcentral